Molecule: non-coding RNA, 71 nt
Organism: Phrynosoma platyrhinos (Desert horned lizard)
Lineage: Eukaryota; Metazoa; Chordata; Lepidosauria; Squamata; Phrynosomatidae
Source: the annotation of a GenBank genome assembly
GCCAACGUUGUGUAGUGGUUUGAGCGUUGGACUAGGAAUCUGGAGACCAGAGUUCGAAUCCUGACUUGGCC